GACGAACCGUCCAAACGUUAUUCGGAAUCACUGGGCUUAAAGGGUGCGUAGGCGGCGCGGAGAGUUGGGUGUGAAAUCCCUCGGCUUAACCGAGGAACUGCGCCCAAAACUUCCGUGCUCGAGGGAGAUAGAGGUGAGCGGAACUUAGGGUGGAGCGGUGAAAUGCGUAGAUAUCGGGAGGAACACCUGAGGCGAAGGCGGGCUACUGGGCCGAUACUGACGCUGAGGCGCGAAAGCCAGGGGAGCAAACGGG
This 253-nucleotide ribosomal RNA is filed under the name uncultured bacterium. RNAcentral's name for it is "partial 16S ribosomal RNA". It matches the Rfam family "Bacterial small subunit ribosomal RNA", at positions 524 to 776 of the family's 1533-position model. The record is from RNAcentral.